UAUUGGACAAUGGGGGCAACCCUGAUCCAGCGAUGCCGCGUGUGCGAAGAAGGCCUGCGGGUUGUAAAGCACUUUAGGUGGGAAAGAAAUGCGAUUGUCGAAUAGACAAUUGAGCUGACGUUACCCACAGAAUAAGCACCGGCAAACUCUGUGCCAGCAGCCGCGGUAAUACAGAGGGUGCAAGCGUUAAUCGGAAUUACUGGGCGUAAAGGGCGCGUAGGCGGAUCAUUAAGUUAGAUGUGAAAUACCUGGGCUUAACCUAGGAAGUGCAUUUAAAACUGAUGUCCUAGAGUACUGUAGAGGUCAGUGGAAUUUCCGGUGUAGCGGUGAAAUGCGUAGAUAUCGGGAAGAACACCAAUGGCGAAGGCAACUGACUGGACAGCUACUGACGCUGAGGCGCGAAAGCAUGGGAAGCAAACA
RNAcentral lists this ribosomal RNA (420 nucleotides) under uncultured bacterium. Its description in RNAcentral is "bacterial SSU rRNA". It matches the Rfam family "Bacterial small subunit ribosomal RNA", at positions 362 to 774 of the family's 1533-position model. The record is from RNAcentral.